This 200-nucleotide ribosomal RNA is filed under the name uncultured Glomus. RNAcentral's name for it is "partial small subunit ribosomal RNA". It matches the Rfam family "Eukaryotic small subunit ribosomal RNA", at positions 591 to 797 of the family's 1831-position model. The record is from RNAcentral. Lineage: Eukaryota; Fungi; Glomeromycota; Glomeromycetes; Glomerales; Glomeraceae.
CCAAUAGCGUAUAUUAAAGUUGUUGCAGUUAAAAAGCUCGUAGUUGAAUUUCGAGAUCAAUUUGUUGGUCGUGCCUCGGUACGUACUGGCAAUUUUGAUUUCUCCCUUCUGAAGAACCAUGAUGUCAUUAAUUUGGUGUCAUGGGGAAUCAGGACCGUUACUUUGAAAAAAUUAGAGUGUUUAAAGCAGGCUCGCGCUUG